RNAcentral lists this ribosomal RNA (77 nucleotides) under Clostridium sp. Its description in RNAcentral is "partial 23S ribosomal RNA". It matches the Rfam family "Bacterial large subunit ribosomal RNA", at positions 2848 to 2925 of the family's 2925-position model. Lineage: Bacteria; Bacillati; Bacillota; Clostridia; Eubacteriales; Clostridiaceae. The record is from RNAcentral.
CAAGGUUGAUAGGUCAGAGGUGUAAGUAUGGCAACAUAUUUAGCUGACUGAUACUAAUAGGUCGAGGGCUUGACCAA